RNAcentral lists this long non-coding RNA (203 nucleotides) under Anas platyrhynchos platyrhynchos (common mallard). Its description in RNAcentral is "lncRNA (ENSAPLG00000029949.1)". The record is from RNAcentral. Lineage: Eukaryota; Metazoa; Chordata; Aves; Anseriformes; Anatidae.
GGUGUGCAAGAGGACACUUGUGCAAGGACGUUUGGGGGUGUGCAAGGCGAGUCACUUUUUCAAGGGGUGUGUAAAGGCAGAGGUGUGCAAGAAGACACUUGUGCAAGGACAUUUAAGGUGUGCAAGGCAAGUCACUUUUACAAGGGGUGUGUAAAGGCAGAGGUGUGCAAGAAGACACUUGUGCAAGGACGUUUGGGGGUGUG